CCUACGGGAGGCUGCAGUGGGGGAUAUUGGACAAUGGGCGCAAGCCUGACCCAGCAACGCCGCGUGAAUGAAGGAGGGUUUCGGGGUGUAAACUUCUUUUCUCAGGGACGAAGAAGGUCACGGUACCUGAAGAAUAAGCCACGGCUAACUACGUGCCAGCAGCCGCGGUAAUACGUAGGUGGCAAGCGUUAUCCGGAUUUAUUGGGUGUAAAGGGCGUGUAGGCGGGAGCGCAAGUCAGAUGUGAAAACUCAGGGCUCAACCCUGAGCCUGCAUUUGAAACUGUGUUUCUUGAGUGCUGGAGAGGCAAUCGGAAUUCCGUGUGUAGCGGUGAAAUGCGUAGAUAUAAGGAGGAACACCAGUGGCGAAGGCGGAUUGCUGGACAGUAACUGACGUUGAGGCGCGAAAGCGUGGGGAGCAAACAGGAUUAGAUACCCUUGUAGUC
Molecule: ribosomal RNA, 443 nt
Filed under: uncultured bacterium
Lineage: Bacteria
Description: partial 16S ribosomal RNA
Rfam family: Bacterial small subunit ribosomal RNA
Source: RNAcentral